UCGUGGCGGGUGACCGGGAGGUCGACUCCCGCGCCUUCGCCGCCGGAGCGGCCGGUUCGGCCUCGGCGCUGCGGGCC
This 77-nucleotide transfer RNA is filed under the name Nakamurella endophytica. Its description in RNAcentral is "tRNA-Glu". Lineage: Bacteria; Bacillati; Actinomycetota; Actinomycetes; Nakamurellales; Nakamurellaceae. The record is from RNAcentral.